ACUCAAAACCAUUGGGACUGAGCAAGGUUGGAUGGGAUCAGUUCCCUAAAAGAAACCCAUGGAGCUUUUACCGGAAGAAAAGGUGGAACAGAUAUAAGAGGUCUUCCUGGUGCCGAUCUGUGCUUGGAGGAGUGCCCUGACUCUGGCUCCCAGUGGUGUUGCUACACCAUGCAGCAUGUUGGAUUUUAGUCCCCUGACCAGGGAUCGAACCCACAUCCCUUGCAUUGGAAGAGCAGAAUCUUAACCACUGGACCACCAGGGAAGUCCCUCACCUUUGUGUUUAUUGCCUGCCUCCUAUUAGGAUGUGAAUUCUCUGACAAUAGGGAGUGUAUGUUUUUGUUCACUAUUGUCUCCCAGUAUCAAGUAUAACACCUGAAAGUGAAAGGGAAGUCACUCAGUCGUGUCCGACUCUUUGCGACCCCAUGGACUAUAGCCCACCAGGCUUUUCCAUUCAUGGGAUUUUCCAGGCAAGAGUACUGGAGUGGGUUGCCUUUUCCUUCUCCAGGGGAUCUUCCCGACCCAGGGAUCGAACCCCUGUCUCCCACAUUUGCAAGCAGAUGCUUUAGCCUCUGAGCCACCAGGGAAGCAUGGUGAAGCAUUGUUGUAAAUGCUGGUUCAAUAUUUGUUGAAUCCACAGUGGCAAAGAAAUGGUUUCCUUCAUGAAGAUAAUCAUUGUAAGAGCCAGACAAUAAACCACAAAAGAAUAAACAUAUAUAAUUACAAGUUGUGAUAGUGCUGUGAGGAAGCUAACAGGUACAGUGAUGGAGAAACCACUUUAAAUAGGCUGGUCAAAAGGGAUCUUGGGAAAGAAAUGAUGUUUAGGAUUAGAAGAAUGAGAUAGGGCCAGCCCUGCCAAGGGAGGAGAAGACCAUUCCAGAAGGAAAAAAAAAAAAAAACACACAUUCAAAGACCUUGAAGCGGAAAUGGGUUUGACAUCUUCAAAGUACUGAAAGGGGACCCAGAAUAAAGGAAAAAAUGACAAGAGUUGAUGUUGAAGAGGAUCUGAUAGACUAUGGUGAAGUUUAGAUUCUAUUCACCUUUCUAAGGCAAGAUUUGUUAUAGUAGCAAGUUGAGAGGCAUAGGUGUCCAGAGAUGGAGUAUGGAUUUCUGGCCCAUUUCCUUAAGUUUCUUAGUUAGGAGUGAGGUGGCCUUCACAAGGAGAGCGCGGACUGGUCCUCCGACAACGGAGCUGCCAAGAUGCCAUUUCCCAUGCAGGCAGCAGCAGCAUCCUCUCUCUGUGGUCCCCGGCUGCUCCAGCUGUUCUCUUCGGGCCCUCUGUAAUUAUGUAGGCAGUUUCUUCUCCCGCCGCAGCAACGUAUCGCAUGACGUUUUCAGUCCAGGUGGCCUGGUCCCGACGGUCUCGUCUACAUCCUCUUGGCUGACCCCUAGGCCAUUGCUUAUGCUGUUUCCCUGCAAAGAAAUACUGGCCUCACCCACAUCUCCAAAACCCAGCUCUAGUCCUGAGACAACCAGGAGAUCUGACUUAUAGGCCUGGCUCAUCAUUUCACAUUUACUAGCUCAGAAGCCUGAAUAAAUGCCCCCUCCUACUGCCGUCUCCCCAGAUACCUAAUCUCCCUCCAGAGAUUAGAUAUCCUGGAUAGAUAGACUUUGCAGAUUGGUCUAAAUGAAAGAUCUUGGCAUGGGGAGAGUAUAGUCCACUGUCUGGGCCCAUCCUAAAUGCCAUCACAGGGAUUUUUAUAAAAGAACAGUAGAGGGGGAAAAAACACAGACUAAAAGGGGGAAGGCAGUGUAACUGUGGAAACAAAGAUGGGAAUGAUGCAGCCACAAGCCCAGGGAUGCCAGCUGCCACCGGAAGCUGGAAGAGGCAAGAAAUGGAUCCUCCCCUAGAA
Long non-coding RNA from Bos taurus (domestic cattle), 1850 nucleotides. Lineage: Eukaryota; Metazoa; Chordata; Mammalia; Artiodactyla; Bovidae. The record is from Ensembl.